UACGUAGGGUGCAAGCGUUGUCCGGAAUUAUUGGGCGUAAAGAGCUCGUAGGCGGCUCGGUAAGUCGGAUGUGAAACCUCCAGGCUCAACCUGGAGACGCCAUCUGAUACUGCCGUGGCUUGAGUCCGGUAGAGGAGCAGGGAAUUCCUGGUGUAGCGGUGAAAUGCGCAGAUAUCAGGAGGAACACCAGCGGCGAAGGCGCUGCUCUGGGCCGGUACUGACGCUGAGGAGCGAAAGCGUGGGAGCGAACAGG
This 253-nucleotide ribosomal RNA is filed under the name uncultured bacterium. RNAcentral's name for it is "partial 16S ribosomal RNA". It matches the Rfam family "Bacterial small subunit ribosomal RNA", at positions 524 to 776 of the family's 1533-position model. The record is from RNAcentral.